Molecule: ribosomal RNA, 520 nt
Filed under: uncultured bacterium
Lineage: Bacteria
Description: bacterial SSU rRNA
Rfam family: Bacterial small subunit ribosomal RNA
Source: RNAcentral
GGUUCAGAACGAACGCUGGCGGCGUGCUUAACACAUGCAAGUCGAACGCGAAAGGGACUUCGGUCCUGAGUAAAGUGGCGCACGGGUGAGUAACGCGUAGAUAACCUGUCUUUAUGUCUGGAAUAAUACGCCGAAAGGGGUACCGUAAUACCGGAUAUUUUUGCAUUGCAUAAGCAGUGUAAGCAAAGGUGGCCUCUGACAUAAGCUACUGCAUAAAGAGGGGUCUGCGUACCAUUAGCUAGUAGGUGGGGUAAAGGCCUACCUAGGCUACGAUGGUUAGCGGGUCUGAGAGGAUGAUCCGCCACACUGGCACUGGAACACGGGCCAGACUCCUACGGGAGGCAGCAGUGAGGAAUAUUGCGCAAUGGGGGCAACCCUGACGCAGCGACGCCGCGUGAGUGAGGAAGGCCUUCGGGUCGUAAAGCUCUGUCAAAGGGAAAGAAGUGCAUGGUGGUUAAUACCUGCCAUGUUUGACGGUACCCUUAAAGGAAGCACCGGCUAACUCCGUGCCAGCCGCUGC